ACUCAAAGGAAUUGACGGGGACCCGCACAAGCGGUGGAGCGUGUUGUUUAAUUCGACGAUAAACGAAGAACCUUACCAAGGUUUGACAUCCUACUAAUCCCAGUGAAAGCCGGGAGUGCCUUCGGGCCGUAGAGACAGGUGUUGCAUGGCCGUCGUCAGCUCGUGUCGUGAGAUGUUUGGUUAAGUCCAUCAACGAGCGCAACCCUUAUGGUUAGUUGGAUUUUUCUAGCCAGACUGCCCCGGUAACGGGGAGGAAGGAGGGGAUGAUGUCAGGUCAGUAUUACCCUUACACCUUGGGCUACAAACACGCUACAAUGGCCGGUACAAAGGGCAGCGAAAUCGCGAGAUGAAGCAAAUCCCAUCAAAGCCGGUCUCAGUUCGGAUUGCAGGCUGAAACUCGCCUGCAUGAAGCUGGAAUCGCUAGUAACGGUAGGUCAGCUAUACUACCGUGAAUACGUUCCCGGGUCUUGUACACACCGCCCGU
Molecule: ribosomal RNA, 484 nt
Filed under: uncultured bacterium
Lineage: Bacteria
Description: partial 16S ribosomal RNA
Rfam family: Bacterial small subunit ribosomal RNA
Source: RNAcentral